CUACGUGCCAGCAGCCGCGGUAAUACGUAGGUGGCAAGCGUUGUCCGGAAUUAUUGGGCGUAAAGCGCGCGCAGGCGGAUUGGUCAGUCUGUCUUAAAAGUUCGGGGCUUAACCCCGUGAUGGGAUGGAAACUGCCAAUCUAGAGUAUCGGAGAGGAAAGUGGAAUUCCUAGUGUAGCGGUGAAAUGCGUAGAUAUUAGGAAGAACACCAGUGGCGAAGGCGACUUUCUGGACGAAAACUGACGCUGAGGAGCGAAAGCUAGGGGAGCAAACAGGAUUAGAUACCCUGGUAGUCCUAGCCGUAAACGAUGGACACUAGGUGUGGGGGAAUAUUUCUUCCGUGCUGCAGCUAACGCAUUAAGUGUCCCGCCUGGGGAGUACGGCCGCAAGGCUAAAACUCAAAGGAAUUGACGGGGGCCCGCACAAGCAGCGGAGCAUGUGGUUUAAUUCGAAGCAACGCGAAGAACCUUACCAGGGCUU
RNAcentral lists this ribosomal RNA (479 nucleotides) under uncultured bacterium. Its description in RNAcentral is "bacterial SSU rRNA". It matches the Rfam family "Bacterial small subunit ribosomal RNA", at positions 501 to 982 of the family's 1533-position model. The record is from RNAcentral.